UUUACCGUAAACAUGGCUCUUUAGUGUAUCAACAACUUACAUUAUCAUAUAAAUAAUGUUUAACAUAAAUAUUAUUUCUUACACAAAUCAAAUGUUUUGCUUCAUAAAGCAGUAUUAACCCAAUGGAGUAAUAGAUAAGAUAAGUGUAUGAUAGAUAUAUGUGGUUUUUAGAGCUUUAGCCAUUUAGGUUUUAUGUAGGGCUCCAGACAUCAAUUUGAGAGAGGUGGGACCAGGUAUCAGUUGGGGCAAGAAAUUAAGUGUGAUGUGUGUGUCUGCAUUCAACCCAUCCCAGAGAAUAGUGAACACACACACACUUGAAACAGUGGGCAGCUAUUCCUAAAGCGCCCGGGUAGCAAUUGGGGUUAAGGUGCCUUGCCCAAUGGCACCACAGUCGCAACCUGCCGGACGUGAGAUUUGAUUACAAAAAAUUAUUACAAAUUAAUACAGAAAAUUUCUAGUUGUUUACAAAUAAACACCUGUUUCAGCACCUUUACCAUACUCUUAGUCUCCCAAACUUUGGGUGAGGUUUCCUUAUUUUAUUGUUACACUUUAACAUUAAAUUCUGUUGUCAUAUUGAUAAACCCAUUGUACCACUUGCAUUGAAACAUUUCAUAUGAUCAGGGGUGCACAUAACUGGUGCGCAUGCGCGGUUAAAAUAAAAAAUAUAAAAAAAAUAAUAAAGGCGCUUUUGCGUACCAACGCUGCUGGAAUUUUUAUGUAGUGCAUAAUUGGUAAGAUAAUUAUUACAAACGUAUUAAAAUUAAUGUGUUGUUAGAUGCAACAGUUACUGGCCCGAUUGGCCAAUUUAAAUAUUAAAUAAAUAUAAUCAGUUGAGAAAUAAAAUGCGUGUACUGUAUAGACGGUUUCAUCGGACGCACAUGAUACACGUUUGGAUCCGAAAUUUACUUCCGGUUUCGUUUUUUAAUGGUCUGACUAGUUGCUAAACUGAUCUCUUGAACAAAUGCCUCGUCGAAAAUAACUAAUUUUUUGGUUUCCUAGGUAAUCUAUGUGUUGUUUUUUGCUUGUUAUAUAAAUAAACUACGUUUAAAGUACUUUGUUGUUAUUUAUUAUUAGCGGAGUUUACCGGAAUUACGUGCGGACUGCGACAGCCGCUUGUUUAUGUUGUUACUGCGGAAACUGUCUAUAUUGGAUCAAUGCAUUUAAAGGGACAUACACCAAUUUUUUUGUAUAAACCGGGUGUGCCUCAUAAGCCUUGAAAAGUGAAGCCUCUGGCUCUUUGAUCGCCCCCUGGUGGCUGGCUGCAGUACAAGUCAUAACCCCGCCCUCUCCAUUCAAACGAAUGGGACUCUGCUCUAAUAAAAAAAUUAUUUACACUUCCAAUAAAAGUUUCCAAAAGAUGGUUUUGGUCCUUUCAGGUAGUUGUUAUCAUGCUGAUAUAUGUUCAAGUGUUCAUUAUUGUGGUAAGUUUCAUUUUAGCUAGUAAUUUGAUGCUAUAGAAAUGGGGCGUGUCGUUAUGAAUGACGUGGUUGAAUUGGUCGCGCGAGCGUUUAGACGGAAGUUUGAUACCGUGGCUCCGCCUUCCUUCUGCGCAUGCCUUGGCUCCAAACUGACGUUUUUACGUAACAUGGCGGCGACCGUGGUCGGACAUUUUUGGCUUCAAUUCAUUACAAUGGUGGGAGGCGACGUCACGUCAUCCAUCUUUUUUUUUACAAUCUAUGGUAUAAACCUGAUGCUGUUUUUAAUGUUAAUCAAACAACAGGCAAAGAAAAUCAUAAUUUCCUUGUCUUGACUAAAUAACAUUUGUAGCUUUUAUAAGGAUUAAUCCAGUUUACACAGUAAAGACUAUGCAGUAUUAUCUGAUUACUUUAUUUAGUUUCUGUACUGUACCUGAAAACUACAGACCAACAUCUCCAGGUGCUCCUUUGAGAACCAGGCCAAAAAAGUUAUGUGCACCCCUGCAUAUGAUACCAAACAAGACAAGUAUCAGAUAUUUUGUGCAUGUAGAAUGUAGCAUUCCAUAUACAGUUUGGUCUGAGAGAAUGAGGAGAGGGGAAAGGUAGUGUGUGAUUCUUCUGUCUCCGCACAGCUGUCUUGGGGGUAGAUGUAAAUUUCAUUAGAUCCUCUGUGUUUUAACAAAGGGUGAAUGUCUUUGAGGUAGAUAUGGCCUUAAGAAAAUUAACCAUGGUUUCCUUUCUGUCGUUCACUCGACGUUGUGUCGAUGAGUACCAGUGUCAGCUCGGGUCCUCCAGGGUAACAACUAGCCCGCCGACUUACUAGGCGUCUCGUUUGCAUAGCACCCUCUCCCCUUCUUAGGUGAGACCAUGGUCUAUUCCAUACGGGCUCCCCCAGUGGGUGAGGUAUGGUCUUUGUAGUGCCCCUUUUUUUUCUAUGAGUUUAUUUUUGGCACAUUCUCAGUUUACCUCAGUACCCUGCGGCUAAGUCAAUGCUAUCUGCUUUAAAAUGCCCCGCUGGUGUUACUAGUGAGUCGUCUGUUU
Long non-coding RNA from Misgurnus anguillicaudatus (oriental weatherfish), 2456 nucleotides. RefSeq lists it as uncharacterized. The record is from RefSeq and is a predicted model, not a curated record. NCBI's taxonomy places the organism in Eukaryota, Metazoa, Chordata, Actinopteri, Cypriniformes, Cobitidae.